This 654-nucleotide ribosomal RNA is filed under the name uncultured bacterium. RNAcentral describes it as "bacterial SSU rRNA". It matches the Rfam family "Bacterial small subunit ribosomal RNA", at positions 202 to 842 of the family's 1533-position model. The record is from RNAcentral.
AAAAGGCGGCGUAAGCUGUCGCUAAAGGAUGGACCCGCGGUGCAUUAGCUAGUUGGUAAGGUAACGGCUUACCAAGGCGGCGAUGCAUAGCCGAGUUGAGAGACUGAUCGGCCACAUUGGGACUGAGACACGGCCCAAACUCCUACGGGAGGCAGCAGUAGGGAAUCUUCCACAAUGGGCGAAAGCCUGAUGGAGCAACGCCGCGUGAGUGAAGAAGGUUUUCGGAUCGUAAAGCUCUGUUGUUGGUGAAGAAGGAUAGAGGUAGUAACUGGCCCCUAUUUGACGGUAAUCAACCAGAAAGUCACGGCUAACUACGUGCCAGCAGCCGCGGUAAUACGUAGGUGGCAAGCGUUGUCCGGAUUUAUUGGGCGUAAAGCGAGCGCAGGCGGAAAGAUAAGUCUGAUGUGAAAGCCCCCGGCUUAACCGAGGAAUUGCAUCGGAAACUGUGUUUCUUGAGUGCAGAAGAGGAGAGUGGAACUCCAUGUGUAGCGGUGGAAUGCGUAGAUAUAUGGAAGAACACCAGUGGCGAAGGCGGCUCUCUGGUCUGUAACUGACGCUGAGGCUCGAAAGCAUGGGUAGCGAACAGGAUUAGAUACCCUGGUAGUCCAUGCCGUAAACGAUGAGUGCUAAGUGUUGGGAGGUUUCCGCCUCUCA